This 175-nucleotide ribosomal RNA is filed under the name uncultured Acinetobacter sp. RNAcentral's name for it is "partial 16S ribosomal RNA". It matches the Rfam family "Bacterial small subunit ribosomal RNA", at positions 359 to 530 of the family's 1533-position model. Lineage: Bacteria; Pseudomonadati; Pseudomonadota; Gammaproteobacteria; Moraxellales; Moraxellaceae. The record is from RNAcentral.
GGGGANGGNAGGGGCGNAGCCUGAUCCAGCCAUGCCGCGUGUGUGAAGAAGGCCUUUUGGUUGUAAAGCACNUUUGCGAGGAGGAGGCUACUUGGAUUAAUACUCUAGGAUAGUGGACGUUACUCGCAGAAUAAGCACCGGCUAACUCUGUGCCAGCAGCCGCGGUAANACGAAU